GGCAGCACAAUGAAGGGCAGUGCUAUUAUCACGGCCACAAGAACGAUUCACAUCAACUCCAGCUAGUGAAAGAAUCAGCUUUAAAACAUCAAUACUACCAUACAUAGCAGCAACCAUCAAAGGGGUUCUAUGCUCGAGAACCAUUUGCCUUGUACCCUUUUGGCGCCCAUACCACAUCCCAACCUCAUUAAUACUGGAUAGAUCAUGCUCAAUCCAUCUUUUAAAAGCAUCUAUAUCGUUGUUGGAUGCAAUUUCAAGCAAGCUAGCAAGAGUAUCUUCAGUUUCAACAGUCAAAUGAUUCAUGUUCAUGUCUGUAGUUUAAUAUAUACCAACAAAAAUUGAGCUGAUUAGAUCAAAAAAGAUGAAAUUUUUAAGACCAGCAGCAGCUCUUCAGUACUAUUUCAUGUCUUAACAGGACAUAUAUAUAUAGAUAUAGAGAGAG
This 442-nucleotide unclassified non-coding RNA is filed under the name Hevea brasiliensis (rubber tree). Lineage: Eukaryota; Viridiplantae; Streptophyta; Magnoliopsida; Malpighiales; Euphorbiaceae. The record is from RNAcentral.